This 253-nucleotide ribosomal RNA is filed under the name uncultured bacterium. RNAcentral's name for it is "partial 16S ribosomal RNA". It matches the Rfam family "Bacterial small subunit ribosomal RNA", at positions 524 to 776 of the family's 1533-position model. The record is from RNAcentral.
UACGAAGGGUGCAAGCGUUACUCGGAAUUACUGGGCGUAAAGCGUGCGUAGGUGGUUCGUUAAGUCUGUCGUGAAAGCCCCGGGCUCAACCUGGGAAUGGCGAUGGAUACUGGCGGGCUAGAGUGCGGUAGAGGAGAGUGGAAUUCCCGGUGUAGCAGUGAAAUGCGCAGAUAUCAGGAGGAACACCAAUGGCGAAGGCAGCUCGCUGGGACGGUACUGACGCUGAGGCGCGAAAGCGUGGGGAGCAAACAGG